UAACCUGCCCAAGAGAUCGGGAUAACACCUGGAAACAGAUGCUAAUACCGGAUAACAACAGAUGAUGCCUAUCAACUGUUUAAAAGAUGGUUCUGCUAUCACUCUUGGAUGGACCUGCGGUGCAUUAGCUAGUUGGUAGGGUAACGGCCUACCAAGGCGAUGAUGCAUAGCCGAGUUGAGAGACUGAUCGGCCACAUUGGGACUGAGACACGGCCCAAACUCCUACGGGAGGCAGCAGUU
RNAcentral lists this ribosomal RNA (240 nucleotides) under uncultured Lactobacillus sp. Its description in RNAcentral is "partial 16S ribosomal RNA". It matches the Rfam family "Bacterial small subunit ribosomal RNA", at positions 122 to 355 of the family's 1533-position model. The record is from RNAcentral. Lineage: Bacteria; Bacillati; Bacillota; Bacilli; Lactobacillales; Lactobacillaceae.